AGUGAACGCUGGCGGUAGGCCUAACACAUGCAAGUCGAACGGCAGCACAGUAAGAGCUUGCUCUUACGGGUGGCGAGUGGCGGACGGGUGAGGAAUACAUCGGAAUCUACUUUUUCGUGGGGGCUAACGUAGGGACACUUACGCUAAUACCGCAUACGACCUACGGGUGAAAGCAGGGGAUCUUCGGACCUUGCGCGAUUGAAUGAGCCGAUGUCGGAUUAGCUAGUUGGCGGGGUAAAGGCCCACCAAGGCGACGAUCCGUAGCUGGUCUGAGAGGAUGAUCAGCCACACUGGAACUGAGACACGGUCCAGACUCCUACGGGAGGCAGCAGUGGGGAAUAUUGGACAAUGGGCGCAAGCCUGAUCCAGCCAUACCGCGUGUGUGAAGAAGGCCUUCGGGUUGUAAAGCCCUUUUGUUGGGAAAGAAAAGCAGCAGGUUAAUACCCCGCUGUUCUGACGGUACCCAAAGAAUAAGCACCGGCUAACUUCGUG
Molecule: ribosomal RNA, 492 nt
Filed under: uncultured bacterium
Lineage: Bacteria
Description: partial 16S ribosomal RNA
Rfam family: Bacterial small subunit ribosomal RNA
Source: RNAcentral